UAUCCAUGUUUGUAAGACUGCUCACAGACUGUUUUACCAGAGAGUUUUCUGGUACUGCAACAUCUACCACUAAUCUCUGUGAUCCCUUUGAAUUGGCAAAAUAAGAAUAGUGCUAUAGAUUUCUUCCAAAUACAGAAAACAUAAGUAUGAAAAUGUUCUUGCUGUUGAUUAUAUUCUUUACCAAUCUGUUUGUAUGGGAUUUUUGGUACUUCACUUGAAAAAUGAGUCCAAGGUACUGUGAUGUGAUUGUUUACUUUGUGUGGCCUUUCUAGCCAUGGUCUUAUAACAUCCACCCUGGUGCUUGGGCAGGACUGUGUGAUAGGGUAAUUGUGGCUCACCAAGAGGAUUGUUUAUUUUGCCUUCAAAGAGAACCAGUUCCAGAGCAAAGAGGAGGAUUCAACUCCCAUCAAGGAAGAACAGCCAAGAGCCGAGCGUAUAUUAUGGACCUGAGAUCCCUGCACUGAGAAGCUCCUAGAAGCAGGAGACUGAGAUAGAGAGAGGAAGCUGUAACCCUGAAGAUGCUUAAAUACAGACCAGAAGAGGAGUUUGGGGCUUGACACCUGACAUCUUAACACCAGUUCCUGUUUCUUGAGGAAGGAAGAGGUAAAAUAAAUCAGCGUUUGCUGUUUCCUUCUCCAUCCCCGGAAGUCCUGAUGAAGACCCUCUCAGGUAAGGAUUGACAGGGAGUGGCUUGGUUUACUAUUCAACUUUGUCCUUCAGUAACUUUGUUUAUGUCCUGCAUGUAAACUGUUGUGCAUUGAGAAGCAUUCUAAUUCUUGUGCAGAAGGACUAGACCUCCUGCAGAAUGACUAUAUUGUGCCUCCCUCGGGCACCCCUGUCUGCGCAGCACCCCCCAACGCCAACUGCCCAACCGCCUCUCUCCUGGCAUUCUGCUUCUAGAAGCAUGUUCUUUUGAUGCAGAGAUGCAGCACACACAGAAUCCCAGCUGGAUUACAGACUUGAACCUGAAGACCUUAUGCAGAAUGACAAUUUAUGAACCACUAAGCUCAGUACUAAAGCAGCUUCAACUUGAACGUGAAUAUGAGCAACUGAUCAUCUGUUCUGCAGUCAGCCCCUGCCCUGAUUCUGACUCAUGAUAUUGACCAAGUGAAGAGUGAUUCAGAGAAAAACAUGGAUAGAGUGUGACCUAAUUUCCAUAAAAACAAACAAAUGAAUGUACUUACAUGUGUCCCGGCAAAAAGAAGUGUGUAAAAGGGUACAUAUGUAUCUUUGGACACUGGACACUUCAGGGGAGCAGGUAUAAUAUACUUAUGUGGGGAUGGCUCUUAUUAUAACUUCUAUAUACAAAUCUCUAUUGUUAAAUGUGUUAUAAGAAUGUAAAAGCUUUUAAAGUUUAAUAACAUCAUACGUGUAUGUGUGUGUAUUUGAAACUUUUUUUCUUUUGACUAUUUUAUAUAUGUGUUUUUUAGUUAUCUAGUUUUUUUUUUAGUGUGGCUAUAGCAGAGAUACCAAAAGUGGAUGGCUUUAACAAACAGAAACUUAUUCUCUCACAGUUUAAGAAGCAACAAGUUUGAAGUCAGGGCACCAGGUCUAGGAGAAAGCUCUCUCUCUUUGUGGCUCUGGGGGAAGGUCCUUGUCAUCUAUCUUCCCCUGGCCUAGGAAAUUCUCAGCGCGUGGACACUGGGUCAAAAAGACGUGCUCCACUCCAGGCACUUCUUCCUUGGUGGUAUGAGGUCCCUCUCAUUUCCGCUCACUCUUCUCUUUGUAUCUCAAAAGAGACUGACUCAAGACUCACCCUAAUCCUGUAGAUUGUGUCCUCCCUCAUUAACCUAACUGCCUCUAAUCCCGCCUUAUUUACAUCACAGAGGUUAGAAUUUACAACACAUAAGUAAUCACAUCAGAUCACAAAAUGCAGGACAACCACACAAUACUGGGAAUCAUGGUCUGGCCAGGUUGGCACACAUUUUGGGGGACACUAUUCAAUCCAUAACAACAGAGAAAACACUGUCUUCAAUGCCAGAUUCAGAGACUUUUAUCAAUCUAUGAAGGGCAAACACAGAAAUUGAACAAAAUUCAGACCAGCGAAUUAUUGCUUGCUCUUGUAACUAAUGACUUCUUCUGGUCUCUGUACCUGGAAAUGGCCAAAAAGAAUUCUGUGAGGAUUAAUUCAGUUAUUGCUAAAACAUCUACUGCAUUUACAUGUCUACAGAUAAGGAAUAAUGCUGGACACCAUGUGUGAUUCAUUAAGUAACACAGGGACUAUUAGACUGUUGUUCUCCUUCUCUGAUAUGCCACUAUCACCUUCUCCCCUUGUUGCUCUCCUGAAAAACCCACACUUGUAUAUUCUAGGCUUUUUUCCAGGAUUGAAUUUGCAGGAAGUUGAAGAUACAUCUUUGAAAGAUAAAGAAGACUUUGGCCACAUUGUCUUUAGACAGUCGAACUUCCCAGCCAGCCUCUGUGCAGGAUGGGAAUUCACAAUCCCUCCUACUCAGUACCUCUGAGCAGGACGGGAUUUCUGUUUCAUUAUCAGGAGACUGUGGAAUUCACCCCUCUUCAGAAAACUUACUUUCCUUUGCCUCAAACUGUCCCUCUCAGGAUCUGUCACGGUCACUCUGAGAAAUUCACAUGGGCAGCCUGUAUGGAAGUGCCCAUCCUAGAGUCCCUGCCCUCCCUUCCUUGCUCCGUAGGGCUUCCUCCGACACUUGGGGUCACAUCUCCCAGGGAGUACACACCUCUGGCACUUCCAGGGAUUCCCAGGCCCUGGGAUACUGUGGAUGGGACUUGGAACUCAAUCUGUUUCUUCCCAUCCUCACCUUUGGUUAUCUGUGUUCUGUCUUCACCAGAUUUAGGAGGCCUUGUCUUCUCUUUGCUCAUUUCAUUUCAGUCAGGCUUUUCUAUUCCAACUCUCUGAUCUCAGGACACAUCAGGUUAGACCACAGAAAAGAGAAAGACCAAGCAAACAUCACUGAUCUGUGCAGAAGCUGCUGGGAAGGGAUUCGAUUCUCAUUGGUUUAGGGUUUUAAGCCCACUGCUCACCGGCAGGCAGGUUCCCCCCAGAGUCUGGCUUCUGUCUGGUACCUUGUACUACAAAGAACUCAGUGACCAGCCCACCUUCAC
Loxodonta africana (African savanna elephant) is the source of this 3078-nucleotide long non-coding RNA. RefSeq lists it as uncharacterized. The record is from RefSeq and is a predicted model, not a curated record. Lineage: Eukaryota; Metazoa; Chordata; Mammalia; Proboscidea; Elephantidae. The transcript has 3 exons.